CAUUGUUUUUCUAUGAAAGCUUAGCUACUUGUUGAUUUGAAGGAGAAUUUUUGGGGGUAAUACUGCACACAACUGCUGGAAACAUCUUUACUUAGCAACUGCAUCAGUUCCUUUGGUUGCUGUUACCCUUUCAGCACCACAGCGGUUACAUACCUUCUGCUUUUUGCAGUGCACCUUGACCAAGCCAGCUCACACACUAACACAGAGUUUUGGCUCAGGAGAAAAGGGCAAUGCCUUUAUCAGGACCCUGAGUGCCCUAAUGGGACUUAACAGCCUCUACAAGCCUCACCUGGGAUCUCCACCCUUUGCCUAUUGCUUAGGAGCCAUUUUUAAAGCUCAGGCUGCAAUAAGCAAUCUUGACUGUCCCUGGAUAAUUCCUUCCCUUUUUUUCUCCAUGAAGUUGUCAAAUACUAUCAACAUAGAGCACUUGCAAUUCCUACACCAAGAAGGAAAGGUGAAGAAAAUCAUUUAAUCAGCUACAGGUCAAAAAAAAAAAAAACCAACACAACCCAAACCAGGCAGAACUUCCUCAAGCAGCUGGACUUUCUACUUCUCCCUUUCUGAUUUUGAGACCAGUCAGGCUCCUGAAGUGGUAAGAAACUGAAGUCUGAAGCAAGCAAAUGCUGUUCAGCUGCAAACCACUUCAGAGAUGAUUAAGUUCAACAGCAUGUGUGGGUCACCAGAACAAGGGUAUGUACUAGGAGACAAUUUAGUCAUCUAUGGCUGAUAAUCAUAGUGAUAUUUUGAGUAUGCAAUGCUCGUUUUCUUUAAAGUGCAAAGAGGACUGUGAAAUUGACGUGUCUAAUGUUUAGCCAUUUAGGGUUGACAGCUAAUUCACUAAAAAAGACAUAAAAUUCCAUACAUUUUUCUAUUCUUAUGUAAGUGAUCUGACAAAUUUUCCAGAUGCUUCUAAAAGAAAUGAGGCCAACUCUUUUACUCCACAAACAGGGCUUUGUGUAGUCACAGUGCAGUGGUUACAAGAAGGCAAAAUAUGCCUUUGGAGUUCUUUUUCCAGUGAUUACUAUUAGACUGUCUAUCAAACAGCAAAAAUCACAGAAUCAUUAGCGUCGGAAGGGACCUCUGGAGAUUAUCUAGUCCAACCCCCCUGCCAAGUCAAGGCCACCUAGAGCAGGUUACACAGGAUCGUGUUGAGACUGGUUUGGAAUGUCUCCAGAAAGGAACACUCUAUAACCUCCCUGUGCAGCCUGUUCCAGGGUUCUGCCACGUUCAAUGUAAAGCAGUUCCUCCUCAUGUUGAGGUGAAACUUCUUUUAUUUCAGUUUAUGGC
This is a long non-coding RNA of Pezoporus occidentalis (night parrot), 1287 nucleotides long. RefSeq lists it as uncharacterized. NCBI's taxonomy places the organism in Eukaryota, Metazoa, Chordata, Aves, Psittaciformes, Psittacidae. The transcript is spliced from 3 exons. The record is from RefSeq and is a predicted model, not a curated record.